AUGUAUUGGGGGGGGGGGGGGCUCACAGGGAGUAUGGCCACGCCAGGUAGGAGACCUGCGCAAACUCCCUGUGCUUACCGGGGGGCUAGAGAGACCGGGCAGGCACCGUGUUAUGCAGUGGUGCAAACGGUGUCCCCAGUGCAGGUGCAUAGUCCGGUGCGAUAUAUUCCAGCUCCUCGUAUCGGCCGGGCUAGAGUGGGCAUCGAGCCAGGUAAGGUUGGGCAGGCUCGGUGCUCAAGAGCUCCAGUGCGCCUGCACGGUCCGGUCUAUCCAGUACCACCUCCACACCCCAGCCCUCCGGUAGCAGCUCCCCGCACCAGGCUUCCUGUGUGUGUCCUCGGUCCAGUACCACCAGUACCAGCACCACGCACCAGGCCUACAGUGCGCCUCGCCUCUCCUGCGCUGUCGGAGUCUGCCGCCUGUUCAGCGCUGCCAGAGCCUUCCUCCUCUACAGCGCUGCUGGAUUCUCCCGCCUGUUUAGCGCAGCCAGAGCCUUUCUCCUCUCCUGCGCUGCUGGAGUCUCCUGCCUGUUCAGCGCAGCCAGAGCUGCCAGCCUGCAUGGAGCAGCCUGAACUGUCAGUCUGCAAGGAGCUGCCAGCCUGCAUGGAGCAGCCAGAGCUGCCAGCCUGCAUGGAGCAGCCAGAGAUGCCAGUGUGCAAGGAGCUGCCAGUCUGCAAAGAGCUGUCAGUCUGCAAGAAGCCGCCAGAGCCGUCAGUCUGCAUGGAGCAGCCAGAGCCGUCAGUCUGCAUGGAGCUGCCAGUCUGCAAGGAGCUGCCAGUCUGCAAGGAGCUGCCAGUCUGCAAGGAGCUGCCAGUCUGCACGGAGCUGCCAGUCUGCACGGAGCUGCCAGUCUGCACGGAGCUGCCAGUCUGCACGGAGCUGUCAGUCUGCAAGGAGCUGCCAGUCUGUAAGGAGCUGCCAGUCUGCAAGGAGCUGCCAGUCUGCACGGAGCCGCCAGAGCUGCCAGUCUGUAAGAAGCCGCCAGAGCUGUCAGCCUACAUGGAGCAGCCAGAGCCGUCAGUCAGCAUGGAGCAGCCAGAGCCGCCAGUCAGCAUGGAGCAGCCAGAUCUUUCAGUCUGCCAGGAUCCGCCAGUCAGCCAGACUCUUCCAGAUCUGCCAGUCAGCCAGACUCUUCCAGAUCUGCCAGUCAGCCAGACUCUUCCAGAUCUGCCAGUCAGCCAGACUCUUCCAGAUCUGCCAGUCAACCAGACUCUUCCAGAUCUGCCAGUCAACCAGACUCUUCCAGAUCUGCCAGUCAACCAGACUCUUCCAGAUCCGCCAGUCGGCCAGGAUCCGCCAGUCGGCCAGGAUCCGCCAGUCGGCCAGGAUCCGCCAGGAUCUGCCAGUCAGCCAGGAUCUGCCAGUCAGCCAGGAUCUGCUGAAACCACCAGCCAGCCAGGAUCUGGUAGAUCUACCUACCUGCCUGAGCUUCCUCUCACUCCUGAGCUUCCUCUCACUCCUGAGCUUUCUCUCACUCCCGAGCUGCCUCAGUCCCGAGCUGUCCUUCAGUCCCGAUCUGCUCCUCAGUCCCGAUCUGCUCCUCAGUCCAGUGGGGUUCUGGGUGAGGACUACUAG
Oncorhynchus kisutch (coho salmon) is the source of this 1575-nucleotide long non-coding RNA. The record is from Ensembl. NCBI's taxonomy places the organism in Eukaryota, Metazoa, Chordata, Actinopteri, Salmoniformes, Salmonidae.